AUCAUCUCAUAUAAAUAACUAAUAUUCCAAGAACAUAGUAUAACAUCAACUUCCUGAAUCUUCUUCUUCUCUGUUCACAAAUACAAAAGUCGUGUUUGUUUGAGCGUAAUUUUCAGGUGUGAAUUUCAGCUGGGUUUCAUAUUCAGAAUCAGAAGAGGAUAUAUUCAUCAAGUGGAGCCAAACAGGGCUCUAUGAAAUGUAUGUAGUAUUCAAGCUGUUGAUCAUUGGUGGUGAUAUUGUUGAAGAAGAAGUCCACUGGGAAAAAGAAAGAUAAAUUUUACAACACCGCGUUUUUUUGCUAUAUAUAAUCAGAAAAUCAUUUGAUAUUCUGGGAAAAAAAGAUUCAGGCUAAUUAUUUGAGCAACGGCAGCAAUGAUGAUGAAGAAACAGGGCGCGGAAGGUACUGGAGUUGAAGCGGAGUUGGUGAAAUGCGAGUGCUGCGGAUUGACGGAGGAGUGUACGGUGGCGUAUAUAGCGAGAGUUCGGGAGAGGAACGGAGGGCGGUGGAUUUGCGGACUAUGCGCGGAGGCAGUGAAGGAUGAGAUCAUGAGAUCGGAGUCGAGGAUUGGAAGUGAGGAGGCUCUGAAUCGGCACAUGAAUUUCUGCAAGAAGUUCAGAGCUUUAAGGCCGCCGCCCAAUCCAACGGAGGAACUGAUAUCGGCGGUGAAGCAACUGAUGUUAAGGAGUUUGGAUUCACCUAGAUCAAAUCCUGUGAGUAGACACGGUUUGGUUAGAUCUCAGAGUUGUUUUUCAACAAUUGAUAGUUGAACGGACAGUUCAGUGAUCAAAAUGUUAUAAUUCAAAUCGCGUGCUAGGAGUUCAGGUAAUAUUGAAAGAAGGCCAUUCAGGUAAAUUAGUAUUAGUCUACUAGAUAAUAGAGUUAAACUUGAAUAAAUUUUGCUGCUUAAGGUGGUAUAUUCAGUUUAAACUAUUGUUCAAUUCUGAAGGUAGCUUUGUGCUGUUAGACAGUUCCUUAGUGAAAUUUCAACUAAUUUUCUCUUGUUUGUUUACUAUUGGAGCAAUUGAAUACUAGCUUUAGUUUUCUGGUAGCGAGAUCUGAUUCCAUACUUUUGGUAAGCAGUUGGUUUUCUUGGAAAUUAUUCUGUUCGGAUUUUCAUGAGAAAAAGAAAAAUGGAGCUGUUACUGAUUACACAUGUAGUUUCUUUGUGGUUUUAAGGUUGAAAACAUUAAUCUGGAUUUCAUUGGUAAUCAGGACUAGCUGAUGAGAUUAACAGAAGGACCUGUCUUUAGUCUGUGAUGGUAAUCAGGAGCUCAUUUUUCUACUGCUUCGGGUCCAAAACACUCUCACUCGGGACACUUUAAUCACAUUUCAUUAAGCGCGUGAAGGAAGCAUUUGGACAAUUAAAACAAUAAAAUUCUAUAUCUGUCUCUGGUCAUAGACGAGAGUGUUGUUGUGUACAACCGAUAGCAAAGCAUGUACUCUAACGAACAGUAAUAAUUGUACCUGAUCUCGACUUAAACUAAAUUCAUCUCUGGUUACGAACGGGAUAUUGCACAAUAAAUUGUCCAUGUUAAAGACUGUGUA
Nicotiana tabacum (common tobacco) is the source of this 1546-nucleotide non-coding RNA. The record is from RefSeq and is a predicted model, not a curated record. NCBI's taxonomy places the organism in Eukaryota, Viridiplantae, Streptophyta, Magnoliopsida, Solanales, Solanaceae.